This 845-nucleotide ribosomal RNA is filed under the name Aspergillus versicolor. Its description in RNAcentral is "LSU rRNA". It matches the Rfam family "Eukaryotic large subunit ribosomal RNA", at positions 83 to 944 of the family's 3401-position model. The record is from RNAcentral. Lineage: Eukaryota; Fungi; Ascomycota; Eurotiomycetes; Eurotiales; Aspergillaceae.
GUAACGGCGAGUGAAGCGGCAAGAGCUCAAAUUUGAAAUCUGGCCCCUCCGGGGUCCGAGUUGUAAUUUGCAGAGGAUGCUUCGGGUGCGGCCCCUGUCUAAGUGCCCUGGAACGGGCCGUCAGAGAGGGUGAGAAUCCCGUCUUGGGCAGGGUGCCCGUGCCCGUGUGAAGCUCCUUCGACGAGUCGAGUUGUUUGGGAAUGCAGCUCUAAAUGGGUGGUAAAUUUCAUCUAAAGCUAAAUACCGGCCGGAGACCGAUAGCGCACAAGUAGAGUGAUCGAAAGAUGAAAAGCACUUUGAAAAGAGAGUUAAACAGCACGUGAAAUUGUUGAAAGGGAAGCGCUUGCGACCAGACUCGGCCUCGGGGUUCAGCCAGCAUUCGUGCUGGUGUACUUCCCCGGGGCCGGGCCAGCGUCGGUUCGGGCGGCCGGUCAAAGGCCCCAGGAAUGUAUCGUCCUCCGGGACGUCUUAUAGCCUGGGGUGCAAUGCGGCCAGCCUGGACCGAGGAACGCGCUUCGGCACGGACGCUGGCGUAAUGGUCACAAACGACCCGUCUUGAAACACGGACCAAGGAGUCUAACAUCUACGCGAGUGUUCGGGUGUCAAACCCGUACGCGCAGUGAAAGCGAACGGAGGUGGGAGCCCCUUUUGGGGCGCACCAUCGACCGAUCCUGAAGUCUUCGGAUGGAUUUGAGUACGAGCGUAGCUGUGGGGACCCGAAAGAUGGUGAACUAUGCCUGAAUAGGGUGAAGCCAGAGGAAACUCUGGUGGAGGCUCGCAGCGGUUCUGACGUGCAAAUCGAUCGUCAAAUUUGGGUAUAGGGGCGAAAGACUAAUCGAACCAUC